GAUGAACGCUGGCGGCGUGCCUAAUACAUGCAAGUCGAGCGAACAGACGAGGAGCUUGCUCCUCUGACGUUAGCGGCGGACGGGUGAGUAACACGUGGAUAACCUACCUAUAAUACUGGGAUAACUUCGGGAAACCGGAGCUAAUACCGGAUAAUAUAUUGAACCGCAUGGUUCAAUAGUUAAAGACGGUUUUGCUGUCACUUAUAGAUGGAUCCGCGCCGCAUUAGCUAGUUGGUAAGGUAACGGCUUACCAAGGCGACGAUGCGUAGCCGACCUGAGAGGGUGAUCGGCCAAACUGGAACUGAGACACGGUCAAGACUCCUACGGGAGGCAGCAGUAGGGAAUCUUCCGCAAUGGGCGAAAGCCUGACGGAGCAACGCCGCGUGAGUGAUGAAGGUCUUCGGAUCGUAAAACUCUGUUAUUAGGGAAGAACAAAUGUGUAAGUAACUAUGCACGUCUUGACGGUACCUAAUCAGAAAGCCACGGCUAACUACGUG
This 497-nucleotide ribosomal RNA is filed under the name uncultured bacterium. RNAcentral describes it as "partial 16S ribosomal RNA". It matches the Rfam family "Bacterial small subunit ribosomal RNA", at positions 28 to 507 of the family's 1533-position model. The record is from RNAcentral.